Molecule: long non-coding RNA, 5958 nt
Filed under: Lupinus angustifolius (narrow-leaved blue lupine)
Lineage: Eukaryota; Viridiplantae; Streptophyta; Magnoliopsida; Fabales; Fabaceae
Description: long non-coding RNA (LANG_LNC003716)
Source: RNAcentral
UGUAAUGGAAAAUUAUAGACAUUCUUUCAUAAGACAGUUUACUUAAUAACACCAAUAAUAUCAACAAACCUUUUCAGGAAUUAGUUUUUGGAAGACUUUUUGUCCAUAUUAAUGAACUCCACUAUGUGAUCUCUUUCUUACAGUUGAUAUGUUUCAUCAAGUAUCCUUUCUACUUUGCUUAUCUUAACAGAAUAAGAAUCAAUCAAAAAGAGAAGAAGUUAGAUAGAUAGAUACACACGCUAUCUUUACACACAACAUACAGCAGAAUAUAACAAAACACACAUAACAUAACACAUAAUGUUGAGAGAGAGACAUUUAUCACACAAAAAUCAAAGAAUACAUGCACGCAUAUCAUACCUAAACACACAAAAUUGCUAUAGAGAAAGCAACAUCACUUGCCUAUCACAACAAGCAGAAAGUAGAGAGUAUAGUGUUGUUCUUGAGAAGAGUAUACAAGCAAUACAUUCAUCUUCCUUUGUGAUGGAAAGUCCAUUCGGCGUACAUCACUAUGAGAAUGUUAAGGAGGAAGGGGAUUUCUAGGAAUUUCUAAGAAUUUCGAAGAAAUGAUUGAGAAAGGGAAUCUCCUUCAACGAGAGAGAACUCUGAAUUGUUAUUGAGACUUUGAGAAGAAGGUUACAAGAGAGAAGGAUUCUGUUUUUCAGAUUAUGAACCCAAUUUCUGAAAAACAGUUACCUUACUAUUUAUAGCAUUCCUAACUGUUUUAACUGAAACAGUUUUACUAAAAAAGGAAAGUUGCAACAACUAGCUAAAAAAGGCAAUUGAUACAAGUAAAUGAUUAAGAGUACAGAGAUUACAAAGAUCCCUAUCAAUAUCCCCCCUCAAACAAACCUUGACCUCAAGGUUUAAAAAACGAAAAUUUUUUUCUGUAAAUCAAAAAGGAAUUCCCAGGUUGCCUCUUCAUCUAGUUGAUGCUUCCAUUUAACCAGAACCUUAGUAACAGCGUGACCUCUUCUUUUCACUGUCAUACGGUCUAUGAUGUACUCAGGUUCUUUGCCUCGUGCCACUGCAUCUGAGAAUGGGGGAAGCUGAAUUGAAGAAGGAACUGAACCAAUGUGUCUUUUAAGCUGGGACACGUGAAAAACAUGGUGGAUUGAUGAAGAAGGAGGAAGAGCCAAUUUAUAAGCCACCAUACCCACCUUGUCAAUGACCAAAUAGGGUCUAAAAAAUUUAGGAGCCAACUUAGCAUUACUCCUAUUAGCCACUGAAAUUUGCCUGUAGGGAUGCAAUUUAACAUAAACCAUAUCCCCAAUUUCAAAUUGCCUAUCCUGCCUGCUUCUGUCAGCAAACUGCUUCAUACGGUGUUGAGCCCUUCUCAAAUGGAAUUUAAGCACCCGUAGCAUUUCUUCCCUCUUGCUUAGACUACGAUCCACCAAUUCCACUGCUGAAUUUCCAGGAAGAUAAGGGGUUGCCUGGAUUGAAGUGUGGAAUGUAGAAUUAUACCACCAUUCUGCCAAUGCUAACCAUUUAAACCAUUGAUGUGGUGAAUCUGAGCACAUACAUCGCAAAUAAGUUUCCAAACAGCGAUUAACCACUUCUGUUUGACCAUCAGUUUGGGGAUGAUAAGAUGAAGAAAGCUGCAGUUGAACUCCUUGCAAGGCAAAUAAUUCUUGCCAAAAACUGCUUACAAAAAUAGGGUCCCUAUCACUUGUGAUGGAAGCAGGGUAGCCAUGGAGCUUAAACACAUUAUCCAGAAAACAUUGUGCCACAUUUACAGCAAUAUAUGGGUGAGCUAAAGCCAUGAAGUGAGCUGCUUUACUCAACCUAUCAACUACUACAAGAAUGACUUGCUUCCCUGAUGACAAUGGUAAACCUUCAAUGAAAUCCAUGGUAAGAUGUUGCCAUACAUGAUCUGGAAUUGGCAGAGGUUGCAGAAGACCAGGGUAGGGUGUUGUUUGAUAUUUGCACGUUUGACAGGUUGGGCACCUCAUAACAAAAUCCUUAACAUCCCUAUUCAAGCCUCUCCAUAAACCACUGAUUUCACUCUUUUAAUUGUGGCAUGCCUUCCUGAAUGACCCCCUGUUGCAGUGGUAUGUAACCAUUGUAAAAUAUCAUGCCUGAGUUGUAGGUUGUUGCCAAUCACCAACCUCCCCUUCCUACGAAGUUCACCAUUAACCCAACUAUAAUGCUUGUGAGAAGAUGGUUGUUGCUGAAUCUGGAUUCUGAUGUUGCUCAAUGCUGAAUCUGAAUCCCAAGAAGCAAUGAUUCUGUCCAACAAAACAGGCUCAAUAGUAUGAACUAGCAAGGCAAAGCAAGCAUUCCUUCUUGACAAGGCAUUUGCAGCAAUAUUUUCCUUGCCCUGCUUAUACUCAAUUUCAAAAUCAAAUUCCAGCAAUUUGACUAACCAUUUCUGUUGGAAGGAUGUUGCCAAUUUCUGAUCCAACAUGUACUUUAAACUGAUGUGAUCAGUUUUGAUUACAAAAUGUCUACUAAGCAAGUAGUGCCUCCACUUUUGAACAACAAAGACCACUGCCAUAAGCUCCUUCUCAUAGGUAGAAGCUGAUUGUUGCUGUUGGUUAAGGACCCUGCUCACAUAUGCUAUAGGAUGGUGAUUCUGCAUCAAAACAGCCCCCAAGCCAACCCAUGAAGCAUCUACUUCUAGCACAAAUGUCUUAGAGAAAUCAGGAAGAGCCAAAACUGGUGCAGUGCUCAAUAAAUGUUUCAAGUGCAGAAAAGAGUCCUUAGCCUCAACUGUCCAACAAAAAUUGUUUUUCUUGAGUAAUUCUGUUAAGGGUUUAGCCACUCCUCCAAAGCCUUUAACAAAUCUCCUAUAAUAGCCAGCUAGCCCCAAAAAUCCCCUUAAUUGUUUAAGUGUUUGAGGUAAGGGCCAAUCCUUGACAGCUGAAAUUUUUGAUGGGUCAGUGGACACCCCCUGAGCAGAAAUAAAGUGUCCCAAGUACUCAACCCUGUCCACCCCAAAGUAGCAUUUGGAUUUCUUGGCAAACAAUGCAUGACUCUUCAUCAACUGCAGAACUCUUUUAAGGUGAGCCACAUGCUCCUCUAAAGACUUGCUAUAAAUGAGGAUAUCUUCAAAGAAAACUAACAAGAACUUCCUAAGAAAUUCACUGAAAAUGGCAUUCAUAAGGCCUUGGAAUGUUGUUGGAGCAUUUGUUAAACCAAAGGGCAUUACCAAGUAUUCAUAGUGACCCCUGUGUGUUCUGAAUGCAGUUUUGUAGAUAUCUGAGGUUUCCAUUCUUACCUGAUGGUAGCCAGCUCGUAGGUCCAACUUGGAGAAAAUAGUGGAGCCAUGUAAUUCAUCCAUAAGGUCCUCUACCAAGGGAAUGGGAAAUCUUUCUUUGAUAGUCCCUUUGUUUAAGCCUCUAUAAUCUACACAAAGUCUCCAGGUGCCAUCUUUCUUACCCACCAAAACUACAGGACUAGCAUAAGGGCUAUUGUUGUUUUGAAUGAUGCUUGAAUCAAGCAUUUCUUGCACCAAUUUCUCAAUAAUAUCCUUCUGAUGCUUGGCAUACCUGUAGGGUCUCAUGUUGACAGGAUUGGUGCCUUGCAGUAGGGGAAUUUGGUGAUUGUGGCCCUCCCUAAGUGGGGGUAGAUGAACAGGUUCUUCAAAAAUGUCCCCAAAUUCGUCAAGUAACUGAGCAAUUGCAGUAGGAAUCGCAGGUUGCUCUCCAUGAGUAGUCAAGGAUUGUAGCAACCCUUGUUCUGUAUUGCAGAUUUGCAGCAUAGACAGUUGCACCCCUUGAUUCAAAACUUUGUCAAGCUUUUGAGAUUUUAAUGUCUUGACAGCAUUUGUGGAUGCUCCCCUCAAGACAUGUCUCCUACCUUGUGUGGUGAACUCCAUUUUCAGUUUGUCAAAAUUCCAAGUAAUGUCCCCUAAGGUGACCAACCAUUCAAUACCCAGCACCAUGUCACAACACCCCAAGGGAAUGAGCAUCACAUCAGAACUGAAAGUUGUGUGUUGAAUUGUCCAAGCAAAAUCUCGUACUCCAGCUGAUAUUUGGAGCUUGUUUCCAUCUGCCACAGUGACCAUCAGGGGUGUGAGUUGAUCAAUCUUGAAAGCUAGUGUGUGAGCCUUUUGGAUGUCUAGGAAGUUGUGAGUGCUUCCACUGUCGAUGAGUAUGUGCAUGGGCCUUUUAUUAUAAUGACCUGUGAUCCUCAUGGUUCUAAAGCAAGGCAUACCAGUAAGUGCAUUAACAGAAAUAGUUGGUUCCCCAUAAUUCUGGCUUGGCAGUGUUACCUCUUCUCCAAUAUCCUCAUCUUCCCCUCCAUCUUCCAUCUCUAAGACAUGUAGUUGAAGCUUUUUAUGUGCCAAGCUAUGUUCAGGAGUGUAAGGCAUAUCACAGAAGUAACAUAGACCUUUGGCAUGCCUCUCAUUCAUAUAGGCAGGGGUUAAAUUCUUAGUAGUUGCAGGUUUAGGCUUGAGAGGCUCAACCUGCUGGUCAGUGUGCAAGGGUGGUUUAGCAGGUAUAAUUAGCUUAGCAUUAGAAGUAGGUUUACUCCAUUUAGGUGGGAACUUGAACACGGUUGAUUGAUUAUGUGCACAUUCAUAUAGCUUUGCUAAGGCAAAGGCUUUUCGAACAGAUUUAGGUUGGAACAUAUGCACCAUCAUCUGCAUUUCUUGCUUUAGACCUCCUAAGAAGCAACUCAGCGUAUAUUCCUCAGAUAGUUCCAACCUUGUGAUGAUGCCAUCAAAUUCCUCAUGGUAAUCCGCCACUGUGCCCUUCUGUCUAAGAUUCAUAAACUCCACCAUAGGAUCCUCACAUACCUCUCCAAAUCGUUCUAUGAUGAUUUGCACAUAUUCACUCCAACUUGGCCAAGAACUGGACCACAAAUUCUUGACGAAGGCGUGGUGCCAUUGCAAUGCUCUGCCCUCGAAAUGAACCACUGCCAGCUUUACCUUGAAUUCUUCAGGUGUGCCAUUAAUUAAGAAGUAAGUUUCACACUGAUAGAGCCAUUGACGUACGUUAUCACCAUUAAAAUGGGGGAAAUCAAUUCUGGAUAAUCUUGUGCCACAUGAGUAAUUAGAGUUGGUUUGUCUCUCACCAAGAAUUGAAGGUCUAGGCCGUGCAGAUUCUUCUCCACUAUCUUGCCUGGAUUUGAACAAGUCUUCUACUGUCACUUUGAGAGAUUCACUCAACGACUUCUGAAGUGCUCCUGCCAAGUCCAUGAUUUUCGAUUCAAUCUUUGCUACAAGUUUGCUUUCUAAGCGUUCUUCGACUUCCCGCAUGGAUGAUUGACUCCUUGUUGAUUCUGCCAUGGAAGCGUGUUGUGUGCCAAGGAAGGAUGAAAUCUGAUACCAAUUGUUAAGGAGGAAGGGGAUUUCUAGGAAUUUCUAAGAAUUUCGAAGAAAUGAUUGAGAAAGGGAAUCUCCUUCAACGAGAGAGAACUCCGAAUUGUUAUUGAGACUUUGAGAAGAAGAUUACAAGAGAGAAGGAUUCUGUUUUUCAUAUUAUGAACCCAAUUUCUGAAAAACAGUUACCUUACUAUUUAUAGCAUUCCUAACUGUUUUAACUGAAACAGUUUUACUAAAAAAGGAAAGUUGCAACAACUAGCUAAAAAAGGCAAUUGAUACAAGUAAAUGAUUAAGAGUACAGAGAUUACAAAGAUCCCUAUCAGAGAAGGAGAAGCUAAGAACAAGAAAAUGAAAAAUGGAGGAAAGGAAAUUGGAGAAGAUGAUUGCCCUUCCUCCGAGCAGCCACCGCAAACCACUAUGAACAACUAUGUGGUCGCCGUUGGAGAAGGAGAACCCGCCACCAAAGAAGAGAAGAAAGGAGAACACAGCCUAGUAGCUGUGUUGUAUAGAAGAGAGACUUCGCUCAUCACUGUUUUCGCCUAAACGGCCAGCCUCCACGCUUUGAAUCGCCGCCGCGGCUUGAGAAAGGGAAGAAGAUGAAGGUUAUGGAUUCUGUUCCUCUCCUGGUUUCCAUCGUGAAAAGGGGGGAACCAACUUAACCCUUUCCUUUUUUUUAUUCAUUUAGUCUC